GAUGAACGCUAGCGACAGGCUUAACACAUGCAAGUCGAGGGGCAUCAUGAGGUAGCAAUACCUUGAUGGCGACCGGCGCACGGGUGAGUAACGCGUAUGCAACCUGCCCGAUACCGGGGUAUAGCCCAUGGAAACGUGGAUUAACACCCCAUAGUACUUUUAUCCUGCCUGGGAUGGGAGUUAAAUGUUCAAGGUAUCGGAUGGGCAUGCGUCCUAUUAGUUAGUUGGCGGGGUAACAGCCCACCAAGACGAUGAUAGGUAGGGGUUCUGAGAGGAAGGUCCCCCACAUUGGAACUGAGACACGGUCCAAACUCCUACGGGAGGCAGCAGUGAGGAAUAUUGGUCAAUGGACGUAAGUCUGAACCAGCCAAGUCGCGUGAGGGAAGACUGCCCUAUGGGUUGUAAACCUCUUUUAUAAGGGAAGAAUAAGUUCUACGUGUAGAAUGAUGCCUGUACCUUAUGAAUAAGCAUCGGCUAACUCCGUGCCAGCAGCCGCCGCCG
RNAcentral lists this ribosomal RNA (501 nucleotides) under uncultured bacterium. Its description in RNAcentral is "partial 16S ribosomal RNA". It matches the Rfam family "Bacterial small subunit ribosomal RNA", at positions 28 to 523 of the family's 1533-position model. The record is from RNAcentral.